AGUGAACGCUGGCGGUAGGCCUAACACAUGCAAGUCGAACGGCAGCACAGUAAGAGCUUGCUCCUACGGGUGGCGAGUGGCGGACGGGUGAGGAAUACAUCGUAAUCUACUUUUUCGUGGGGGAUCACGUAGGGAAACUUACGCUAAUACCGCAUACGACCUACGGGUGAAAGCAGGGGAUCUUCGGACCUUGCGCGAUUGAAUGAGCCGAUGUCGGAUUAGCUAGUUGGCGGGGUAAAGGCCCACCAAGGCGACGAUCCGUAGCUGGUCUGAGAGGAUGAUAAGCCACAUUGGAACUGAGACACGGUCCAGAGUCCUAAGGGAGGCAGCAGUGGGGAAUAUUGGACAAUGGGCGCAAGCAUGAUACAGCCAUACCGCGUGGGUGAAGAAGGCCUUCGGGUUGUAAAGCCCUUUUGUUGGGAAAGAAAAGCAGCAGGUUAAUACCCCGCGGUUCUGACGGUACCCAAAGAAUAAGCACCGGCUAACUUCGUG
Molecule: ribosomal RNA, 492 nt
Filed under: uncultured bacterium
Lineage: Bacteria
Description: partial 16S ribosomal RNA
Rfam family: Bacterial small subunit ribosomal RNA
Source: RNAcentral